RNAcentral lists this long non-coding RNA (4386 nucleotides) under Stegodyphus dumicola. Its description in RNAcentral is "uncharacterized LOC118185967". Lineage: Eukaryota; Metazoa; Arthropoda; Arachnida; Araneae; Eresidae. The record is from RNAcentral.
AACUACAUUGUUUGAAAAAAAAAUAUUAUUUUUGAGAAAAUAUUGUAAAGAUUAUGUUACAAAAUAAGAAUUGACAAUUUAAAGUCCCUACCCCAUUUGCACUACAUGGGUUGAUUUGGUUUGCUUUCGUUUAUGUGAUUAUGUCAAAUCCUCGGGGGCUAUCUGCCUAUCCACUCUGCAUGGAAAAGAAUUUGAAUGAAAACAAAGAAUGUGUUUUUUUUUUUUAGGUUCUAGGUACACCAACGGAAGAAACGUGGGAUGGUGUGACGGAAUUCCCCAACUACAGACCUCAAAAAUUCGGUCACUAUCCACCCCAGACUCUAUCUGCCGCCUUCCCUCGGCUUACAGAAAUACCUCAAGCAGAGAAAUUAGCUCAAAGUUUUCUACAGUUGCAGCCCAGACAAAGGAUAUCAGCCACCGAAGCUUUGCAUCAUGUUUAUUUUAAAGAACUCCCGCCCAAAAUCUAUGACCUGCCAGAACAAGUGUCCAUUUAUACAGUGUCCGGUUGCAAGUUAAGUCAGGAGACCAAUAAUACUCAGACUGUGAUCAAGAUUAAGCAGUGACCAAUAUCAAAUUCCUUCGCAGUUGUUUAAGGGAGCAAGAGCGCUACAACCACCAAAGAAGAGGUAUUACUAUAGAACUUAAUCUUCCAUGAAGAGUGGAUAAUGUGCUCGGCAUAUCAAGGAAAUUUUUCCUUUUCUACAUUCCAAACAUUUUACAUUAUUCUGGGUCGAGGACUCGGAAAAACUGGAUCGUGUGAACUCGAAGAUAGAAUGCAAGCAAAUACUUUAUUUUUUCAUCAGAGUACGAUUCAUUUUACAGUUUAUUUAUUUCAUUAAUUCUAUUAAACGAACAAAAUCACGUGUGGGUUCUAUGUUGAACCAAUUUCAGUGUCUCACAAAAAAGGGAGGCUUUAAAGCGAAUCACUGAGUCACCGCAGGAUGCGAAGUUACAUUUUUAUCAGUAACAAACAUACUUUAGUUUUAUAUGGAUACAUGGACGUUAGAUGCAAGAAAACAUUAUGAACGCAAAAAAAAUGCAAUGCAUUACUUGAGCAUACAAAACAAAUGAAUCAUAUCUACAAAGCUAUUUAAAUUCAAUUUAACCUUUUAACUGUCAUGCCCGGUGUUCGAAAAUGUCACGCCCGAGUAUUUCUUGGGGUAAUUUUUUUUUUUUUUUUUUUUGAGUGCAUCGUAUUGUCAUACCCGAAUAUAUAUCGGGAGAUGUUUAUUUCGGCUACAUUUGGUUUUUCCAAUAAAAAAAUUUGACAAUUUGUGUACCCAAAUCAUCAAAAUAACUUGACAGUUAAAGGGUUAAUAGAUGACUAUUCCCACACCUCUUGAUUUUCCGGCGUAGAAACAGUUUUUGAAAGAACUUCAAAAAAGUUAGUUAAAGUUAAUUUUUUUGAAAUCUUAACAGAUAAAAAUUGAAAUAUUUAUGUUCUAUUGUAUACACUACUUUGCAUUAAUGGUCAGAUUACAUAUUAACAAGAUUCACUUUCUUGAUUUAAAAAUAUACUUUAAUGAAUUAAUAGCAAUUAUAUAUUUUUUAAUAAAUCUGAGUACACACAGCAAUAAAUAAGCAAAUAUUUUCCUUUUUUCUUUAUAUUAAAAAAAAACUUAUGUCCUUACAAUGUACAAAUUCGGAACUUUUCUGCAAUGCACUGAAUAUUUUUUUCACAUAGAAAACUAAGCAUUUUCUUUUUGUUUUUCCCGAUUAUUACUGCUAACUUAUUUAAUAUGAGUAAAUCAAAAUCUAAAGAUGACAAAUUACAAAAAUUAAAAAAAAUUUUUUGUUCGUGUAAAGAGUAAAGCAGCAAUUUGAAAGACAGAAUUGGCUAUUUUUCUUUACUUCCAUAUCGCACAUAUUCUUCUUAAUGAAAACAAGAGGGUCAGGAUAAUUAAAUUUUCCAACAUAACUAACCUGAGAAACAACACAGAAAAUCACACCUCGCUUUAAAACAUUUAAUCGAUUAAUCAGAUAUGAAGGGGAUCAUCACAUAUGCUUUGCUAUCCCAAUGAACGUAGCAGGCUAUAUACGUUUGUCGACGAGUAACAUUCGAGGCAUAUUGUUAACGCAGAAUGUGUUAAUUUUUACUCGUCUCAAUAAACAUCACUUAUUUUAAAAACAGUAUCGCUGUGGUAGUGACUGACAAUAAUUAUCUUUCUCAUAUUUGCUAAUUUGACUAUUAACACGUCGUCCAUUUUUAAAAUAUUCUGAAUCAAUUAUUCUCAAAUUAUUAAAACAAUUACUGAUUAUUAAAAGUAUUUCAUAGCACAAUAUUUCAAAAAUUAAUUACAUUUCAAAAUUAAAACGAUUACUUGUCACAGCAUAAGCCAUAUUUACGCAUCUAACGAAUCUAAAUGAGGCAAAAUUUUUUUUCACUGAAUUCAUUCAAAAAUUGAUUUACAGUUUCUUUACUGGCAUGUAACUGAACUUAACAUAUCGUUUUAUUAUUCUUACCUUUCGUAAAUUUUCCUUUCUGAAGAUAAAGAAAUAAAAAACUGCAAGAAAAGGAUUUUCAGGUCAAUUUUCCUGUAGUAUUUCCACAUCUCAUCUGCUAAGAGACUCUUGGUUUCUGGCUUCGCGAGUAUUAUAUUACAUCAAAGGGUUGUAGAACCCACCAGUUUCAAUCAGAAUGAAUUUUGUUUCAUCUCAUAGAUUAUCUUAUUAAGGGAUAAAAGCAGCGAUGUUAUGAUUUGACAACAUUUUCUUGCAAAGAUUUCCUGCCGUCACAUUAUCUGUAAGAAGUUAAAGAUACCAAUAUAGGACAAAACAGAUCAUAUGCAGAGUUUAAAUUUUCCUGGUGAUACAGAUACCACAAUGUUCAAUUCCCCACUGAUAGAAAUUUCUGGGUUGUCCUUGGUUUUGAAAUACAUUGUUUCAGCUACAAUAAAGGUGCAAAAUAUUUUUGACAGACGAAAGUGAUGAAUUUUCCAUCUUUUUUAACAAACUUUAUUUCUGUGUACUUUGAAAUUUUCUUACUCUUUUGAAAUCGUUAUGAAUUUCUUCUCCAUGCUGUAUGAGUUACCACUCAUUGUUUGAGGUUCUGCCGCAUAUGAAAGAGGAAAUUUCUUUGUUAAUUUGUGGAUGGUUGUCUCAACUUGUUUCCUGCACUUUUCUUUUCUUGAUUUUAUGCUCAUGAGAAAAUGAAUGUUUAGAUCCAUUUCCUUCGCAUCGUGCUUUGCGUUCACUUUGUUUUAUGACUCCUCAAAUAGUUGAGCUCGGUUUUUUUGCUUCAUAACCCACCUGCAAAUACCAUAUUUCCUACCUCAUUAAAUAAAUUGCAUAUCUGCUUAUUUAAGUCGAAUUGCUAUCAUUUCAUACACAUCCAGUUCAGGAGUCUAGUCAUAGUGGCAUAAUACUCUAAAAUCUAAAAAUUACAUUUUCAUUUAUUCCUUUAAUUUAAAAUAAGAGCAUUAAUGAUAAGCGACAAUAAACAAUUUGAAACACAGAAUUUUAAAUACCCAAACAGCAAUAAUCAAAAAUAAACAAUCUUCACUAAGAACAUUACCAUGUUAUCAUUUUGUAAAGGUUAUUUUUUCUCUCCUUUCUUGGACUUCACGAAAAGGUAAAGUGAUGCAAAAAUCCGUUAUACAAAUUUACAAGUGUUGAGAAAGCAGAAAUGUAAUUGCAUUUAUAUUACACAAAUAUGUAAUACAUGUAUGUUAAUGGAAAAAAUAUUACAGAAGAUAAUAUGCAAGUUAUUACAUAUUGUACUAAAAUGCUCAAUGCAUGUAGAUAACUAAAAUGAAAGUUAAAUGACAUGUGGAAAGUGUGUAAGGAAAUGAUAUGUAAAAUAACGAAAUGACAGCCGUGAUUACCAGACUCAAGUCCAUUGGAUUAUUGAUUGGACAGUUAUCGAGUCACAAUAUCAAAGAGAGUUGUGAUAUUAAGAGUGCCUCUAUCAUUUGCAAACAACUUGUAGGUAUUAAAAUAUUUAUCGAUCAGAUAAUAAAAUAUACAGGAAAUCAAUAAUUAUCAUUGCAACUACUGACGUAUCUUCGGCCAGGCUAACUUUCCUUUUGCAAUCACACUUAUAAAAAUUGGUUUUAUUAUUAAACUAUUUUAAUUGAGACCACACUGUAAAAUGUAUUCAUAAAAAAAUCUUUGCAAAAUUUUCAGUGCAAAGAAAUGCAUUGCAUAUUUUUUACUUCAGUUACUCUGAAGAACAUGAAAACUGAUUCAACAUGUAAUGAAUGAUCUCGGUGAAAUGAGUGUUAUUUUUUCUUGUGAAAAUGUGAUUUCAUUAUUUCAUGGCUGGAACUGUAAAGAAGGCCGUUCAUAUUGAGUGCAAUUACAGAGAAUGUGGCUUUUCAGCGAUGGAAUUUGUUUUUCAUACAUUUGUAAAGGCACAUUGCAUAGAAUAAAACUUUAUACACAAUC